Molecule: ribosomal RNA, 1508 nt
Filed under: uncultured delta proteobacterium
Lineage: Bacteria; Deltaproteobacteria
Description: 16S ribosomal RNA
Rfam family: Bacterial small subunit ribosomal RNA
Source: RNAcentral
AGAGUUUGAUCAUGGCUCAGAACGAAUGCUGGCGGCGUGCUUAACACAUGCAAGUCGAACGGGUUCUAGCAGAAUAUCGCUGGGAUUAGUGGCAAACGGGUGAGUAACACGUGGGUAACCUACCUCCGAAUGGGGAAUAACCCGCCGAAAGGCGAGCUAAUACCCCGUAGUACUGGAAGGUGCAAUUCCUUCCUUUUAAAGAUGGCGUCCGUAAGGGGCUAUCGUUUGGAGAGGGGCCCGCGGCCUAUCAGCUAGUUGGCGGGGUAACGGCCCACCAAGGCGACGACGGGUAGCCGGCCUAAAAGGGCGAUCGGCCACACUGGAACUGAGACACGGUCCAGACUCCUACGGGAGGCAGCAGUGGGGAAUUUUGGACAAUGGGGGAAACCCUGAUCCAGCAACGCCGCGUGAGUGAUGAAGGCCUUCGGGUCGUAAAGCUCUGUCAAGUGGAACGAUGGGUUUCAAAGCUAACAUCUUUGAGAUCUGACGGUACCACUGGAGGAAGUCACGGCUAACUACGUGCCAGCAGCCGCGGUAAUACGUAGGUGGCAAGCAUUGUUCGGAUUUACUAGGCGUAAAGGGAGCGUAGGUGGCUUUGUAAGUUGGAAGUGAAAUUCCACAGCUUAACUGUGGAACUGCUUCCAAGACUGCUUAGCUUGAGUAUAGGAGAGGGAAAUGGAAUUCCUGGUGUAGCGGUGAAAUGCGUAGAUAUCAGGAAGAACACCGGUGGCGAAGGCGAUUUCCUGGCCUAACACUGACACUGAGGCUCGAAAGCUAGGGGAGCAAACAGGAUUAGAUACCCUGGUAGUCCUAGCUGUAAACGAUGAUAAUUAGGUGUAGGAGGUAUCGACCCCUUCUGUGCCGCAGCUAACGCAUUAAAUUAUCCGCCUGGGGAGUACGGCCGCAAGGUUGAAACUCAAAGGAAUUGACGGGGGCCCGCACAAGCGGUGGAGCAUGUGGUUUAAUUCGACGCAACGCGAAGAACCUUACCUGGGCUUGACAUGGUAGAAGUAGAAACCUGAAAGGGCGACGAACCGUUAAGUCGGUAGCUAUCACAGGUGCUGCAUGGCUGUCGUCAGCUCGUGUCGUGAGAUGUUGGGUUAAGUCCCGUAACGAGCGCAACCCUCAUCCUCUGUUACUCCGUAAGGAGUUCUCUGAGGAAACUGCCUUUGAUAAAAAGGAGGAAGGUGGGGAUGACGUCAAGUCCUCACGGCCUUUAUGCCCAGGGCUACACACGUGCUACAAUGGUCACUACAAAGGGUUGCCAAACCGCAAGGUGGAGCUAAUCCCAUAAAAGUGGCCCCAGUUCAGAUUGAAGGCUGCAACUCGCCUUCAUGAAGUUGGAAUCGCUAGUAAUCGUAGAUCAGCUACGCUACGGUGAAUACGUUCCCGGGCCUUGUACACACCGCCCGUCACACCACGAAAGUAAGUUGUAAUAGAAGUGCCCCGGCUUAACGGGGUCCGAAGUUAUGACUUAUGAUUGGGGUGAAGUCGUAACAAGGUAACCG